AACACGUGAGUAACCUGCCCUUGACUCUGGGAUAAGCCUGGGAAACUGGGUCUAAUACCGGAUAUGACUCCUCAUCGCAUGGUGGGGGGUGGAAAGCUUUUGUGGUUUUGGAUGGACUCGCGGCCUAUCAGCUUGUUGGUGGGGUAAUGGCCUACCAAGGCGACGACGGGUAGCCGGCCUGAGAGGGUGACCGGCCACACUGGGACUGAGACACGGCCCAGACUCCUACGGGAGGCAGCAGUGGGGAAUAUUGCACAAUGGGCGCAAGCCUGAUGCAGCGACGCCGCGUGAGGGAUGACGGCCUUCGGGUUGUAAACCUCUUUCAGUAGGGAAGAAGCGAAAGUGACGGUACCUGCAGAAGAAGCGCCGGCUAACUACGUGCCAGCAGCCGCGGUAAUACGUAGGGCGCAAGCGUUAUCCGGAAUUAUUGGGCGUAAAGAGCUCGUAGGCGGUUUGUCGCGUCUGCUGUGAAAGACCGGGGCUCAACUCCGGUUCUGCAGUGGGUACGGGCAGACUAGAGUGCAGUAGGGGAGACUGGAAUUCCUGGUGUAGCGGUGAAAUGCGCAGAUAUCAGGAGG
This 578-nucleotide ribosomal RNA is filed under the name uncultured bacterium. Its description in RNAcentral is "bacterial SSU rRNA". It matches the Rfam family "Bacterial small subunit ribosomal RNA", at positions 112 to 704 of the family's 1533-position model. The record is from RNAcentral.